RNAcentral lists this ribosomal RNA (237 nucleotides) under uncultured bacterium. RNAcentral describes it as "partial 16S ribosomal RNA". It matches the Rfam family "Bacterial small subunit ribosomal RNA", at positions 524 to 760 of the family's 1533-position model. The record is from RNAcentral.
UACGGGGGGAGCAAGCGUUGUUCGGAUUUACUGGGCGUAAAGCGUGCGCAGGCGGUGAUGUAAGACAGUUGUGAAAUCCCCGGGCUUAACCUGGGAAUUGCAUCUGUGGCUGCAUCGCUAGAGUACGGUAGAGGGGGAUGGAAUUCCGCGUGUAGCAGUGAAAUGCGUAGAUAUGCGGAGGAACACCGAUGGCGAAGGCAAUCCCCUGGACCUGUACUGACGCUCAUGCACGAAAGC